This 734-nucleotide ribosomal RNA is filed under the name uncultured prokaryote. RNAcentral describes it as "bacterial SSU rRNA". It matches the Rfam family "Bacterial small subunit ribosomal RNA", at positions 28 to 780 of the family's 1533-position model. The record is from RNAcentral.
GAUGAACGCUGACAGAAUGCUUAACACAUGCAAGUCGAUUCGAUUUACCUUCGGGUAUUGAGGAUGGCGGACGGGUGAGUAACGCGUAAGGAACUUGCCUCUUGGUCUGGGACAACUGUUGGAAACGACAGCUAAUACCGGAUAUUAUGAGAUUCUCGCAUGGGAAACUUAUGAAAGCUAUAUGCGCCAAGAGAGAGCCUUGCGUUCCAUUAGCUAGUUGGUGGGGUAACGGCCCACCAAGGCGACGAUGGAUAGCCGGCCUGAGAGGGUGAACGGCCACAAGGGGACUGAGACACGGCCCUUACUCCUACGGGAGGCAGCAGUGGGGAAUAUUGGACAAUGGGCCACAAGCCUGAUCCAGCAAUUCUGUGUGCACGAUGAAGGUCUUCGGAUUGUAAAGUGCUUUCAGUUGGGAAGAAGAAAGUGACGGUACCAACAGAAGAAGCGACGGCUAAAUACGUGCCAGCAGCCGCGGUAAUACGUAUGUCGCAAGCGUUAUCCGGAUUUAUUGGGCGUAAAGCGCGUCUAGGCGGAAAAAUAAGUCUGAUGUUAAAAUGCGGGGCUCAACUCCGUAUUGCGUUGGAAACUGUUUUUCUAGAGUACUGGAGAGGUGGGCGGAACUACAAGUGUAGAGGUGAAAUUCGUAGAUAUUUGUAGGAAUGCCGAUGGAGAAGUCAGCUCACUGGACAGAUACUGACGCUAAAGCGCGAAAGCGUGGGGAGNAAACAGGAUUA